GACGAACGCUGGCGGCGUGCCUAAUACAUGCAAGUCGAACGCAGUGGGGACGGGUGAGUAACACGUGGGUAACCUCCCAUCAGAGGGGAUAACACUUGGAAACAGGUGCUAAACCGCUACUGAUGGAUGAACCCGCGGUGCAUUAGCUAGGUGGUGGGGUAACGGCUCACCAAGGCCACGAUGCAUACGCGGCCUGAGAGGGUGAUCGGCGACAGUGGGACUGAGACACGGCCCAGACUCCGACGGGAGGCAGCAGUGGGGAAUCUUCGGCAAUGGACGAAAGUCUGACCGAGCAACGCCGCGUGAGUGAAGAAGGUUUUCGGGUCGUAAAACUCUGUUGUUAGAGAGGCGGUAUCUAACCAGGAAGCCACGGCUAACUACGUGCCAGCAGCCGCGGUAAUUC
Molecule: ribosomal RNA, 403 nt
Filed under: uncultured bacterium
Lineage: Bacteria
Description: partial 16S ribosomal RNA
Rfam family: Bacterial small subunit ribosomal RNA
Source: RNAcentral